RNAcentral lists this ribosomal RNA (468 nucleotides) under uncultured bacterium. Its description in RNAcentral is "partial 16S ribosomal RNA". It matches the Rfam family "Bacterial small subunit ribosomal RNA", at positions 28 to 507 of the family's 1533-position model. The record is from RNAcentral.
GACGAACGCUGGCGGCGUGCUUAACACAUGCAAGUCGAACGGACAGGCCCUGCGUUUGUGGGGUGCUCGAGUGGCGAAGGGGUGAGUAAAACAUGUGUAACCUGUACUUGACUUUGGGAUAACUUCAGGAAACUGGGGCUAAUAUCCCAUAGGAGAUCUUGCUGCACGGGGGGGGUUGGAAAGUUUCGGCGGUUGGGGAUGGACUAGCGGCUUACCAGCUUGUUGGUGGGGUAGUUGCUUACCAAGCCUAUGAAGGGUAGCCGGCCUUAGAGCGUGACCGGCCACAUUGGGACUGAGGUACGCACCAGACUGCUACGGGAGGCAGCAGUGGAGAACAUGACGCAGCGGGCGGGAGCCUGAUGCAGCAACGCCGCGUGCGUGAUGACCGCUUACUGGUUGUAAACCGCUUUCGCCUUUGACGUAGCGGGAGUGACGGUAAUGGGUAAAAAAGCACCGGCUAACUACGUG